UACGUAGGGUGCGAGCGUUGUCCGGAAUUAUUGGGCGUAAAGAGCUUGUAGGCGGUUUGUCGCGUCUGCUGUGAAAAUCCGGGGCUCAACCCCGGACUUGCAGUGGGUACGGGCAGACUAGAGUGCGGUAGGGGAGACUGGAAUUCCUGGUGUAGCGGUGAAUGCGCAGAGUAAUCAGGAGGAACACCGGUGGCGAAGGCGGGUCUCUGGGCCGAUAUUGACGCUGAGGAGCGAAAGCGUGGGGAGCGAACAGG
RNAcentral lists this ribosomal RNA (254 nucleotides) under uncultured bacterium. Its description in RNAcentral is "partial 16S ribosomal RNA". It matches the Rfam family "Bacterial small subunit ribosomal RNA", at positions 524 to 776 of the family's 1533-position model. The record is from RNAcentral.